RNAcentral lists this ribosomal RNA (253 nucleotides) under uncultured bacterium. RNAcentral describes it as "partial 16S ribosomal RNA". It matches the Rfam family "Bacterial small subunit ribosomal RNA", at positions 524 to 776 of the family's 1533-position model. The record is from RNAcentral.
UACGAAGGGGGCUAGCGUUGCUCGGAAUUACUGGGCGUAAAGCGCACGUAGGCGGAUUGUUAAGUCGGGGGUGAAAUCCUGGAGCUCAACUCCAGAACUGCCUUCGAUACUGGCGAUCUCGAGUUCGGGAGAGGUGAGUGGAACUGCGAGUGUAGAGGUGAAAUUCGUAGAUAUUCGCAAGAACACCAGUGGCGAAGGCGGCUCACUGGCCCGAUACUGAUGCUGAGGUGCGAAAGCGUGGGGAGCAAACAGG